GCACUGGUGGUUCAGUGGUAAAAUUUUCACCUUCCAUGCCAGAGAGCUAGGUUUGAUUCCCAGCCAAUGCA
This 71-nucleotide transfer RNA is filed under the name Loxodonta africana (African savanna elephant). It matches the Rfam family "tRNA". Rfam says of the family: Transfer RNA (tRNA) molecules are approximately 80 nucleotides in length. Their secondary structure includes four short double-helical elements and three loops (D, anti-codon, and T loops). Lineage: Eukaryota; Metazoa; Chordata; Mammalia; Proboscidea; Elephantidae. The record is from Rfam by way of RNAcentral.